UCGGUGAGAUUUUUCCAGUUUUUCCAUAGUUUAGAUUUGUUUUACCUGUAGUCCAGAAAAAGCCAAUAAAAAAAGGUAGAGAUUAGUUACCUUCGUCCCCAAAACCAAUCUGAGCCUUGCAAUUUUCACAUUAUUAUUUGCAUUGUUGAAUUUUUGCUGCAUUAAUCGUAUCGAGUUGCUGGAUUAGAUUGGAUCGUUUUUCAGACUUUUCCUACUAGAUCGAACUUGCUUUUGGUUUUCUUGUUAUUCGUGUGACGCAGGUUUCCUUCAUCAAUCUUCCACCUCCAAUCUCCCUGCCACACCACCACCACGCCUACAAUCCUUCGCUGCCACCAUCAUAAAAAAAUUUCGCAUUGCAGUUGCCAUCCGCGCCGAUUUCGAGUCCGAGUCCAAUCGGGAAAUUUUUUGGAAAGUGUUUUGGAAUAAGGAAAGAGAUCGAUUUUUGUUUGGAGAUAAAGUUGUUUGAAAGUUGUGAAGAAGGAAAGAAAAGAAAAGAAAUAAAAAAAACGAAAAAAAAGAGAGAAAAAAGAAUCAGUUUCGGAUCCACGUUGAGAAGAAUUCUAGUUCCGAGUCGGUUUGACCUGUGUUCAGUAAAACGGGCAUAUAUAUUGUAUACCAACUCGGAUUUGGACGUUCUAGUACUUUUUGGAAAGCGUGCAACAAGGCGCACGCAGAAAUAUCCAGGGCAUCGGCCUGCUCUUUGACCCUCAAAUUCGGUUUGUAAGGUGCACUUUCAGAGCUUCCAAGUUUCUGGAUCCAGUUUCCGGCAUCGCUGCAGCCCGGUGUUUUUUCGUUAUCUCCACAGUCCGGCCUCCGAUUUGAGUGAUCUUGCACUUGCUGUAAAGCUUGUUUCGAUAUGCUCCUAACCCAUAUUUUUUCAUAUUUUUCUGAAUUUUCCUUACUGCAGCCUUUGCUGUUCUUUGACAGACCGACGUACAGUUUUCUGGUCCUUCUUUUGCGUGAGUUUCUGGGGUUAAAAAAAAGAAAAAAGAAGAAGAAAAGAAUAAGAAGCCAAACAAAGGCCACAAAAAGAAAAAAAAUACAAGGGUUUUACUUGUUAUGCCAUUUUUUGAUCUCUCUAUUCCUACCUUCUUCAGUAUGUAGGCUUAGAUUAUUUCUGUAAUUCGUUCUUAUCGACUUCAGCAGUUAGGACUAGCAUUAUUGAGCAUAUUUUGAACUUUGCAUUGCUGAUUUGAGUAUUUGCUAUUCCUUGCUACUCACAAAAGCCUCCAAGCUACACAGAUUCUACACCU
This 1253-nucleotide long non-coding RNA is filed under the name Brachypodium distachyon (stiff brome). RNAcentral describes it as "long non-coding RNA (BDIS_LNC002056)". Lineage: Eukaryota; Viridiplantae; Streptophyta; Magnoliopsida; Poales; Poaceae. The record is from RNAcentral.